ACAAGAACAAUAAAAAGCACGGCAACUCAUAACAAGAACAAUACGAAACGGCUCACGCAUAACAAGAACAACACGGCGGAGGCGCAGCUAACUGAUUCUUUUGGAGACGCGUUGUGUGAGGGGCUUGCCCCGAAACCAGGCAGAGAACAACAAAAACUGCACUAAAAAGCAGCGCCUGAACUGGUUGGAUCAAUCGAUCAGCACGACUCAACGAUCAAAGCAAUCCGUUUGCUCUUUGCCCCUGAUGUAGGGGCCGCCUGCAGCGAAGCUUGCAGGCAGGGCACUCAACAAAAACAAGAAGCCCGUCAUAACAAUAACAAGAGCACGCAACGACUUGAUGGGGAGCUUAGGCUCCCCAUGUCGUUUCUCACCUCAGCGUCCCUCCGCGACU
Molecule: small RNA, 391 nt
Filed under: Pseudomonas cremoricolorata
Lineage: Bacteria; Pseudomonadati; Pseudomonadota; Gammaproteobacteria; Pseudomonadales; Pseudomonadaceae
Description: Pseudomonas sRNA CrcZ
Rfam family: Pseudomonas sRNA CrcZ
Source: Rfam by way of RNAcentral